Molecule: long non-coding RNA, 201 nt
Filed under: Lathyrus oleraceus (garden pea)
Lineage: Eukaryota; Viridiplantae; Streptophyta; Magnoliopsida; Fabales; Fabaceae
Description: Pisum sativum (pea) long non-coding RNA (PSAT_LNC018651)
Source: RNAcentral
GAACCAAAAAUAAUUGAGACACAGUUUUAUAUUGAUUUAUAUUUAUAGAGAAUUAAGUAUUUUUGGAAAAGAAAAACAAAGUGCCACGUUUGUUAGCCGUGCUCUCUUAUCCUUCAAGUUGCAUUUUUUCACCUAAAUUAAAAAAAAAAGUAGAAUAUUAGUUAUACCUCUUUAGGAAAAAUAAAAAUAAAAUAUAUUUAU